UGGCGGACGGGUGAGUAAUGUCUGGGAAACUGCCUGAUGGAGGGGGAUAACUACUGGAAACGGUAGCUAAUACCGCAUAACGUCGCAAGACCAAAGAGGGGGACCUUCGGGCCUCUUGCCAUCGGAUGUGCCCAGAUGGGAUUAGCUAGUAGGUGGGGUAACGGCUCACCUAGGCGACGAUCCCUAGCUGGUCUGAGAGGAUGACCAGCCACACUGGAACCGAGACACGGUCCAG
Molecule: ribosomal RNA, 235 nt
Filed under: uncultured bacterium
Lineage: Bacteria
Description: partial 16S ribosomal RNA
Rfam family: Bacterial small subunit ribosomal RNA
Source: RNAcentral